Long non-coding RNA from Aegilops tauschii subsp. strangulata, 1245 nucleotides. RefSeq lists it as uncharacterized. The record is from RefSeq and is a predicted model, not a curated record. Lineage: Eukaryota; Viridiplantae; Streptophyta; Magnoliopsida; Poales; Poaceae.
CCCGAUCCACCCACCAACCGUCCCACUCCACCCACCACUGUUUGUCUAAAAAAAACACCCAACCCUCGAUCCAGAUCCCCUCCUCUCUUCUCCCGAUUCACCCCUCGUCUCCCUCCCAUCCCACGCCGCCGCCGCCGCCCACCACCCCGGCGAUCCCCAGCCUCUCCCUCUCCUUCUCCCCUGCAUCCGUCGCCCGCACCUUCCCUCCCAGUCCCAGAUCAACCCGCGGUGAGCCGGCGGCCAGGACACACGGCGGAUCUGGACAUGGACUUGGAGGCCAGCACGAAUCUAAGCUCGCCGGCGAGACGAAUCCAUGCCCUGCGCCUUCCAGCGGAUCGUGCCGUGGCCUCCCCGAUUCGUUGCUCCGUCCGCAUCGCCCAACAGAUGUGAGCAUCAUGCAGCCUUCCCGAGUCGCUGAUUUCGGGGCGCUCGCGCACUCUGCUGGAUUCAGAAUAGAAGAUCUUGCUAAUUUCAGCACAAUCCAUUUCUCCGACUGAUCUAGCUACUACGGCGGCGGCAGCAGCAGCAGUAACAGCAGUUGAUCCUCAGGCACUACUAAAGCAAAAGGGAGCGCAACCAAAUCUAGUAGCUUUAAGAACUCAUAACAAUGAUAACUGGGGAGAGUCAAGUAUGGCUGAUACAAGUCCCCAGGAUUCGUUUCGAUUUUGGGUUGCUUCUGCUCAUGUUGUUGGUUGCUCUCUUCUCUUGUGUUGGUGAUGAUGUGAGGGUGGCCCUUCCUUUUCUUUGCUGCAGUGCAGGAGAAGAAAACCCUAGACCGACCCGAGGAUUCGUCCGACAACCACCUGAGGAGGAAGCAAGCCAUGGACGGACCUCCCUUUCCUUGAAUGCUGCGCCCUCCCACCCAUCUUCCUGCAGCUGCAGGUUUUUGUUUUCGUCACUCCUUUGUUAUAUGGAAGAAGACUUCAUGACUUUGUGAACCCACAUGAGCUAGGGGUUGCACCACAGGAGCAUAGCGUGUACAAGUACUGAACAUUGAAGAUUGCAUUGCAGCUCAUCAAAGAUAGCGACAGAGUGCUGCAGGAUAAUGAGAUGUUGAAGCGGCAGGCUGAAUCCAUGACACCGAAGUGCAAUUGUGGCAGAUUAUCUCUAUCUUUUCUUUUCAUUUUUCUUAUUAUUGAGUGAGAACAGAAUGAGGAACUGUGUGAUAGUACAUACAACAACUGUAGUAAAAAGAAACUUAUGUUUGCAAUUGUUAAUGACAUAGAUACUUGCAUGUUCUUUGAA